This 860-nucleotide long non-coding RNA is filed under the name Homo sapiens (human). RNAcentral's name for it is "RGPD4 divergent transcript". Lineage: Eukaryota; Metazoa; Chordata; Mammalia; Primates; Hominidae. The record is from RNAcentral.
UGAUUUGAGGCACCUGAGGAACUAAGAGCCCAGGAAGAAAGGACAGUAAUGAAAAAGCCAACAAAUGAGACCAGUAUUUAGUGGUAUUUCCCCUAUAGGCAAUUAUUUAUUCAAAAAUACAGGAACAGCAUUUAUUUGCUUAACUGCAGAUAUGCAAACAAAAAAUUUAAAUGGUCUUAGUUACUAUCUACAUGCAGAUGCUUCCAAUCUUAAUCUCUAGUCAUGACCACUGAUCCUUUUUUGAUUCCUUUAAUUCAAUUUAUAUAUCUCUAAGUGAAUAUCUUGUCAACACUGACAAUCAAGACUAAGAUGUAUUUAUUCUAUUCCAGAUUCUACUCUAAAAGUCACCAGGAAAAAUUCAGCUCCACUGGUCCUGGCUCUAAGUCUACUAGCAAAAUCUUCCAGAGAAGUGGAAAAGCCAUCAGCCAAUGUGUUAGACUAUCAUUUCCAUGACCUUACACCUAUCAAAAAGGCACUAUUACCAGGCUUAUAGAAUUCUAAAAAAGUUGGAAACCAUUUUCCAUUAUAAAAGAAAUUCUUCCAAAUCACACAAAACACUCUGACACUUCUCCAAUUCCCCCUAUCAUGGGGCUGGCAGCAGCCGCUUUGCGUCCUGAAUGUCAUGACAGUGAUGAUAACAGUAAUGAUGAUAACAGCAAUGAUGAAGUCUCACAUUUAAAAUUUUCAAGUCACUCAUCACAUCCCAAGUCACUCCCUUCAUUACCUUUUAUUUAUACUGGAGUCAUCCUGUGUGCCUCAGUCAGACCAUUUUGUAUGUACAAUGACCGACAAUGAGAUUUAACAUGCAGUUUGCAGAUCCUCCCUUCUCUGGGUCACCUGAAAAUAAGCCACAAACAAAG